Molecule: ribosomal RNA, 321 nt
Filed under: uncultured eukaryote
Lineage: Eukaryota
Description: partial 18S ribosomal RNA
Rfam family: Eukaryotic small subunit ribosomal RNA
Source: RNAcentral
CCCUUAGAUGUUCUGGGCGGCCCGCGCACUACAAUGGCGCUUUCAGCGAGUUCCUAUGUUGAAUUUUCCUGGGUAUUCUUGGAAGCGGCGUCUUGACUUGGGAUAGAUCCUUGUAAUUGUUGGUUUUGAACGAGGAAUUCCUUGUAAUCGCGGUUGAUCAGCUCGCGUUGAAUACGUCCCUGCCCUUUGUACACACCGCCCGUCGCACCUACCGAUUGAAUGUUUCGGUGAAGAUUCCGGAUAGGACUUUUUUGAUUUAUUUCAAUUUUGUCUUAAAAGCUAUCUAAACCUCAACAUUUAGAGGAAGGUGAAGUCGUAACA